Molecule: ribosomal RNA, 460 nt
Filed under: uncultured Capnocytophaga sp.
Lineage: Bacteria; Pseudomonadati; Bacteroidota; Flavobacteriia; Flavobacteriales; Flavobacteriaceae
Description: bacterial SSU rRNA
Rfam family: Bacterial small subunit ribosomal RNA
Source: RNAcentral
CCUACGGGAGGCAGCAGUGAGGAAUAUUGGUCAAUGGUCGGAAGACUGAACCAGCCAUGCCGCGUGCAGGAAGGCGGCCUUAUGGGUUGUAAACUGCUUUUAUAUGGGAAGAAUAAGGGGUACGUGUACUUUGAUGACGGUACCAUAUGAAUAAGCAUCGGCUAACUCCGUGCCAGCAGCCGCGGUAAUACGGAGGAUGCGAGCGUUAUUCGGAAUCAUUGGGUUUAAAGGGUCUGUAGGCGGGCUAUUAAGUCAGGGGUGAAAUAUUUCAGCUUAACUGGGAAAUUGCCUUUGAUACUGGUAGUCUUGAAUAUUUGUGAAGUUCUUGGAAUGUGUAGUGUAGCGGUGAAAUGCUUAGAUAUUACACAGAACACCGAUUGCGGAGGCAGGGGACUAACAGAUGAUUGACGCUGAGAGACGAAAGCGUGGGGAGCGAACAGGAUUAGAUACCCCGGUAGUC